AAGAUAAGAUCUCCCUUCCGGUUUAUCCGGACUGAAGGAAACUUAAAGACUAUGAGUUUGAUAGGUCACAGGUGUAAGCAUGGUAACAUGUUCAGCCGAGUGAUACUAAUUUUCCGUGAGGCUUGAUCAAUAUU
Molecule: ribosomal RNA, 134 nt
Filed under: Fidelibacterota bacterium
Lineage: Bacteria; Pseudomonadati; Fidelibacterota
Description: partial 23S ribosomal RNA
Rfam family: Bacterial large subunit ribosomal RNA
Source: RNAcentral